Molecule: ribosomal RNA, 161 nt
Filed under: Tiedemannia filiformis
Lineage: Eukaryota; Viridiplantae; Streptophyta; Magnoliopsida; Apiales; Apiaceae
Also listed under: 2 other names
Description: 5.8S ribosomal RNA
Rfam family: 5.8S ribosomal RNA
About the family: 5.8S ribosomal RNA (5.8S rRNA) is a component of the large subunit of the eukaryotic ribosome.
Source: RNAcentral
AAACGACUCUCGGCAACGGAUAUCCCGGCUCUCGCAUCGAUGAAGAACGUAGCGAAAUGCGAUACUUGGUGUGAAUUGCAGAAUCCCGUGAACCAUCGAGUCUUUGAACGCAAGUUGCGCCCGAGGCCUCGGCUAAGGGCACGUCUGCCUGGGUGUCACCU